This is a long non-coding RNA of Mycetomoellerius zeteki, 999 nucleotides long. RefSeq lists it as uncharacterized. NCBI's taxonomy places the organism in Eukaryota, Metazoa, Arthropoda, Insecta, Hymenoptera, Formicidae. The transcript is spliced from 4 exons. The record is from RefSeq and is a predicted model, not a curated record.
UCGAUGUAUAUGUUGAAAAUAGAUAAUGUCAAGCAGUAUUUUAGCUACCUCUUUUAAUACGGGUCGAUGUGAGAUAUUUUCUCCCUGGUUCUGUGUGCGGCUUCCCUUCGAAGAGGCACGGAAGCAUGUAAUUUAGUUAUAACAAAACAAUUAUGUUAUAACUUGAAAAAUUCGAUUAUCGAUAUUACGGCAAACAUUUUAGUCGCUAUCGCAUGAACUUUGUUUCUUAUAAUGAAACUAUUGUUUCGUAUACUUCAAGUUCUUGAAAAAAAUUCAAGGAGUGAAUACGAAGCUGUUCCAUAUUCCGUCCUGUGAAGGCAUCACUAUUGUUCGCGAUGAACAAGCCAGGAAGAAGAAUAAAAUUGUAGGAGCAUUACCAUCAUUGAUAUUACGUUAAUGAGGAGACUCGUAUUAUUUAUCAAACACAUAACGAUCUUUUAAUGGAUUUCUGACGAAAGAGAUUGCCGUUUGCCAAGCAUUCUUCAGACAUUAUCCGAAUCCUUAUGCGACUCACGUUUUAUCGGAGAAUAUCCUGUAUCGAAAAGUCGGCGGCACAAAUCUCUUCAGCAAAAGUACUUUUUGCAAAAGAGUUACCGCUUUGUUACCGAACCGGACUCGGAAACUAAUGAGCACGUAGUUUUUCCAACAAUCUUUCGUGUGGAUAGAUGUUGGCAGAACUAUUAGACUACGUUUCGCAUUUUCCGCAUUUCUAACGUCAGGAUCCAAAAUGGUUGACGCAGAUAUUAGGAGCCUUGCUGAUAAUAUGCACAUUUUAAAAUUUGCAAGGUAUAAGAUAUAACUUUCUUUGACCUCUUAAUCGAUCGGUGCUAUUAUCACUGCCGCAUCAUUCAUCUCAGAGCAGCAACAAAAAUACAUUUGAAGAGAGACUAUUUGUAAUAAAUUUAUGAGCGAAUUCAGGUACUAAUCCUCGUGAAAAGCAUAGUCGAUCUCAGCGCGAUAGACUAGUCUCGUUAACCGGGAACCUCGAUCAUAGAAAAU